This 253-nucleotide ribosomal RNA is filed under the name uncultured bacterium. Its description in RNAcentral is "partial 16S ribosomal RNA". It matches the Rfam family "Bacterial small subunit ribosomal RNA", at positions 524 to 776 of the family's 1533-position model. The record is from RNAcentral.
UACGGAGGAUGCAAGCGUUAUCCGGAAUUAUUGGGCGUAAAGCGUCCGUAGGUGGCAGUUCAAGUCUGUUGUCAAAGCGUGCGGCUCAACCGCAUACGGGCAAUGGAAACUGGGUUGCUAGAGUGCGAUAGGGGUCACAGGAAUUCCCAGUGUAGCGGUGAAAUGCGUAGAGAUUGGGAAGAACACCAGUGGCGAAAGCGCUCUGCUAGGCCGGGUCUGACACUCAGGGACGAAAGCUAGGGGAGCGAAUGGG